UCCAUGGAUACGAUUUCCUUUAAUCUUCACAGCACCUCUUCCAAGACUAUAGAGUCAUUAUGGAUGAAGAAACCAGAGCUCAAAGAGGAUGCCACAGCUGACCAGCCAUGAAGCACCAUGCUGGGAGCCUUCAAAACACAGGUGGACAUACUGCAGAUUUGGCUGGUGGCCCCGAUGCUCAGGAGGCUGGGGUCUGGAGUCCUCCUCCAUGCAGAAAGAAACUAGAAAUAACCAACCCAGAAGAAAUGAGCCUCAUUAGAGGCCAGAUUCUGGUUUCUAAAUAUAUUUCUCACUAAAGGGAAUGAGGCCCCUUAGAGAAAUGACUGAUUCCAGGUCUGGGGCAGCAGAUGUGCAUCUGGACCUUCUGCAAGCCAUUUGUCACACUGGGGAAAAAAACAAGAGCCCCUGACCAACAGGACUCAGCAUCUGCCCCUGGCCUUCCGGAACCCCAGAGGAGAUACUCACAGCUCUCAGUGGCCAGUGACUAAAGAUCCAGUGGAAUUUCAGAAGGACAAAAAAAUAAUAUUCCAAGAUGACGUUCAUGUGAAGAGACAAUUAUAUCAAGACAAAACUGCAGGGGAAAAGUUACGGAAGUGUUUCAGGAAACUACUUAGUAAAAAGGAGUAUGUUACUUUCUGGAUUUUUUGCUGUUUGUGAUAUUUGUCAGCUUUUAAAAAAUAUGCGAUGUGUUAUGACUGUUUCCCAUUAUACUCUUCUAAGUUUUCUAAUGAUUUCAAACAUAGAAAAGUUUAA
Molecule: non-coding RNA, 753 nt
Organism: Manis javanica (Malayan pangolin)
Lineage: Eukaryota; Metazoa; Chordata; Mammalia; Pholidota; Manidae
Source: RefSeq, a predicted model, not a curated record